This 798-nucleotide ribosomal RNA is filed under the name Nocardia otitidiscaviarum. RNAcentral describes it as "bacterial SSU rRNA". It matches the Rfam family "Bacterial small subunit ribosomal RNA", at positions 54 to 867 of the family's 1533-position model. Lineage: Bacteria; Bacillati; Actinomycetota; Actinomycetes; Mycobacteriales; Nocardiaceae. The record is from RNAcentral.
CAUGCAAGUCGAGCGGUAAGGCCCUUCGGGGUACACGAGCGGCGAACGGGUGAGUAACACGUGGGUGAUCUGCCUCGCACUCUGGGAUAAGCCUGGGAAACUGGGUCUAAUACCGGAUAUGACCACGAAUCGCAUGGUUUGUGGUGGAAAGGUUUACUGGUGCGAGAUGGGCCCGCGGCCUAUCAGCUUGUUGGUGGGGUAACGGCCUACCAAGGCGACGACGGGUAGCCGGCCUGAGAGGGCGACCGGCCACACUGGGACUGAGACACGGCCCAGACUCCUACGGGAGGCAGCAGUGGGGAAUAUUGCACAAUGGGCGAAAGCCUGAUGCAGCGACGCCGCGUGAGGGAUGACGGCCUUCGGGUUGUAAACCUCUUUCGACAGGGACGAAGCGCAAGUGACGGUACCUGUAGAAGAAGCACCGGCCAACUACGUGCCAGCAGCCGCGGUAAUACGUAGGGUGCGAGCGUUGUCCGGAAUUACUGGGCGUAAAGAGCUUGUAGGCGGUCUGUCGCGUCGAUCGUGAAAACGUGCAGCUCAACUGCGCGCCUGCGGUCGAUACGGGCAGACUAGAGUACUUCAGGGGAGACUGGAAUUCCUGGUGUAGCGGUGAAAUGCGCAGAUAUCAGGAGGAACACCGGUGGCGAAGGCGGGUCUCUGGGAAGUAACUGACGCUGAGAAGCGAAAGCGUGGGUAGCGAACAGGAUUAGAUACCCUGGUAGUCCACGCCGUAAACGGUGGGUACUAGGUGUGGGUUUCCUUCCACGGGAUCCGUGCCGUAGCUAACGCAUUAAGUAC